UAUUUGACAAUGGGCGCACGCCUGAUCCAGCCAUGCCGCGUGUGUCAAGAAGGACUUUUGGCUGUAAAGCACAUUAAGCGAGGAGGAGGCUCCUUGGAUUACUAAUCUAUGAUAGUGGACGUGACCAGCAUCAUCAGCACCGGCUAACGCUGUGCAAGCAGCCGCGGUAAUACAGAGGGUUCGAGCGUUAAUCGGCUUUACUGGGCGUAAAGCGUGCGUAGGCGGCUUCUUAAGUCGGAUGUGAAAUCCCUGAGCUUAACUUAGGAAUUGCAUUCGAUACUGGGAAGCUAGAGUAUGGGAGAGGAUGGUAGAAGUCCAGGUGUAGCGGUGAAAUGCGUAGAGAUCUGGAGGAAUACCGAUGGCGAAGGCAGCCAUCUGGCCUAAUACUGACGCUGAGGUACGAAAGCAUGGGGAGCAAAC
This 420-nucleotide ribosomal RNA is filed under the name uncultured bacterium. Its description in RNAcentral is "partial 16S ribosomal RNA". It matches the Rfam family "Bacterial small subunit ribosomal RNA", at positions 362 to 773 of the family's 1533-position model. The record is from RNAcentral.